UCUCAUUUGGGGCAGUACAAGGGCCGUAUUUUUCCCUGCAGCUGAGUUAUUCCCUUUGUGCCUCACCUAUUUUUAAGUCUUUUAAUGUACUCUAAGGUCAUCUUUAAAGCCCUUUCUGUAUCUCAGCCGCUUCACGUUCCUUCCACCUCCACCCGGUGUACGUCAAUCGUGUUCUUGUUCUUCGGGCCCAGGUAGUUCACCGGAUUUACGGCAACUACUUUUUGUCUCUCUUCAGGCUUUACUUUUCUGAAGGACUUCACUCAUCCAGAAUAGACUUGGAGACUUGAGGCUGAAGAAUAAUUAUUCAUUCUUUUUCAAGUCUUAGGACAGCCGAAACACAAGUCUUAAUUUUACAGCCACUAGGACAUCCAUGAGCCAACAAAUAUUUCUCUGCAUAGCCCACUAGGAUGCCAGAAUGAUGCACACAUCUGUAGAGCUGAGUGCAGUGUUUCUGCUGGAACCAGACAGAACAUGGAUGAGCAGAGAUAGGGCAGUAUCAUGGAUCACCAGGAAAAUACUCCUUAUCCGUGAGCAACUGCAUCAUGGGGGGAGACUCUAGUCAAUUUAGUGCUUAGCUUAGUAGGGAAGUUGAAGUGUUCUAAAGAAGAGAUGCCAGUUUUUAACAAAGCCUUUCUGGAGAGCAUCUUUGAAAUCAUCACCAGUCUUUGCAGGUCUGUGUUCAGAUAGAAUCGUCUGUGUUGAAAAUAAAUUGAUAUACUGUAAAAAGGACUAGCAGGAUAAUUUAUAUUCAGCAGAGGCUCAAAUACUAAUUCAGAGAGAAGAUUUCAAGAUGAAAUGUAUCCUGGAGUUAAAAAAAAAUCUAAUUACCUUGACUACUGCAUUUCUUAGCAAACCACAUUUUACUUUUGUAUAUGAGCUAUGAAGGCAGUGUUCUAGUAGGGUCUUAUGGAGUGUGUUUUUUCAUUAAAAUCUAUAGAAUUUGUAUAUUCAUGAGA
This is a long non-coding RNA of Prionailurus viverrinus (fishing cat), 956 nucleotides long. RefSeq lists it as uncharacterized. The record is from RefSeq and is a predicted model, not a curated record. NCBI's taxonomy places the organism in Eukaryota, Metazoa, Chordata, Mammalia, Carnivora, Felidae. The transcript has 5 exons.